AACGAACGCUGGCGGCGCGCCUAAUACAUGCAAGUCGAGCGAGAAGACGUAGCAAUACGUUUGUAAAGCGGCGAACGGGUGAGGAAUACAUGGGUAACCUACCCUCGAGUGGGGAAUAACUAGCCGAAAGGUUAGCUAAUACCGCGUACGCUCCUUGGACUUCGGUUCAGGGAGGAAAGCGAUACCGUGGGUAUCGCGCUCUUGGAUGGGCUCAUGUCCUAUCAGCUUGUUGGUGAGGUAACGGCUCACCAAGGCUUCGACGGGUAGCUGGUCUGAGAGGACAAUCAGCCACACUGGCACUGCGACACGGGCCAGACUCCUACGGGAGGCAGCAGUAAGGAAUAUUGCGCAAUGGGCGAAAGCCUGACGCAGCGACGCCGCGUGGGGGAUGAAGGUCUUCGGAUUGUAAACCCCUUUCGGGAGGGAAGAUGGAACGAGCAAUCGUUCGGACGGUACCUCCAGAAGCAGCCACGGCUAACUUCGUGCCAGCCGCCGCCGU
Molecule: ribosomal RNA, 499 nt
Filed under: uncultured bacterium
Lineage: Bacteria
Description: bacterial SSU rRNA
Rfam family: Bacterial small subunit ribosomal RNA
Source: RNAcentral